UACGGGGGGGGUAAGCGUUGUUCGGAAUUACUGGGCGUAAAGGGCUCGUAGGCGGCCAACUAAGUCAUACGUGAAAUCCCUCAGCUUAACUGGGGAACUGCGUGUGAUACUGGAUGGCUUGGAUUCGGGAGAGGGAUGCGGAAUUCCAGGUGUAGCGGUGAAAUGCGUAGAUAUCUGGAGGAACACCGGUGGCGAAGGCGGCAUCCUGGACCAACAUUGACGCUGAGGAGCGAAAGCCAGGGGAGCAAACGGG
This 253-nucleotide ribosomal RNA is filed under the name uncultured bacterium. Its description in RNAcentral is "partial 16S ribosomal RNA". It matches the Rfam family "Bacterial small subunit ribosomal RNA", at positions 524 to 776 of the family's 1533-position model. The record is from RNAcentral.